Poecilia latipinna (sailfin molly) is the source of this 909-nucleotide long non-coding RNA. RefSeq lists it as uncharacterized. The record is from RefSeq and is a predicted model, not a curated record. NCBI's taxonomy places the organism in Eukaryota, Metazoa, Chordata, Actinopteri, Cyprinodontiformes, Poeciliidae. The transcript has 2 exons.
UCAAACUAAUAUCAGUUUUUAAAAUCUUUAUAAAGCACAUAUUUAGUGUAUUUACACUGUAACAUAGAUAUCUCGACACCAAUCCAAGAUGAUCGCAUUUAAUGUUUAUGGACUCCAAGAUUCGCCCCUCACAAAUCGUUCUGGAGACGCCCCUGUCAGUGUCGGAUCAUCCAGACUGUUGGGACCUCAGAGUGCCUCUAUAAACUUCCCACAGUUUGAAUGUUUUCCCUGAUUAGUAACCGAAACCGGACCCCCGGCGGCCGGAGCGCUUUCUGAGAGCUGUGGGUCCGGCGGGCUGCAGAUGAAGGGGAGGGAAUCCCUCCAGUGUCUGACGCUUUCUUUUUUACCAAGGAAACCCACACGCGCUCGCUGACGCAACUGCCCAUUUUAGGAAACAUGCGUCAAUGGGCCGAAGAAAGUGAGACAAAACCGGUGAAGUCCACAGCGGAUCGCUGACGUCCGCCGAUACCAAAAAUAAAAUAAUAAUAAUAAAAAAAAACCCCGCUUUAACUGUAAACCACGUUUUGGAUCUUUAGUCUCUGGUGUCCACCGGGGGAGAAACGAGCUCUGCUCUCUCUUUGCUGUGAUCCACAAGACAAGAGGAGCGAACCCCUCCCCCUGCUGGAUGUUUGCAACGCCCCGCCGUGACGUCGGACGUUUCGUUGGUGUUGAAAAGCCGUCGCGCUUCUUCUUAGUGCCAUUGAAGUGAGUCAUCUCUAGGAAGUGGGGUGAAAAGGGAAAGAAAGAAAAAAAGUUCGAGGUGUUCCGUGAGCGACAGAGAGAGCUCAGAGCAGAGACUACUCCGGGAACUACGACACCUCGUCCCGCGGCAGCAGCACCUCUCCGGCCCAGCCAGAGUCCUUCACAAGCGGCAGCAGCACGAUCGGGAGUCCGAUCUCUACCUCAAAC